AGUGAACGCUGGCGGUAGGCCUAACACAUGCAAGUCGAACGGCAGCACAGUAAGAGCUUGCUCUUACGGGUGGCGAGUGGCGGACGGGUGAGGAAUACAUCGGAAUCUACUUUUUCGUGGGGGAUAACGUAGGGAAACUUACGCUAAUACCGCAUACGACCUACGGGUGAAAGCAGGGGAUCUUCGGACCUUGCGCGAUUGAAUGAGCCGAUGUCGGAUUAGCUAGUUGGCGGGGUAAAGGCCCACCAAGGCGACGAUCCGUAGCUGAUCUGAGAGGAUGAUCAGCCACACUGGAACUGAGACACGGUCCAGACUCCUACGGGAGGCAGCAGUGGGGAAUAUUGGACAAUGGGCGCAAGCUUGAUCCAGCCAUACCGCGUGGGUGAAGAAGGCCUUCGGGUUGUAAAGCCCUUUUGUUGGGAAAGAAAAGCAGCAGGUUAAUACCCCGCUGUUCUGACGGUACCCAAAGAAUAAGCACCGGCUAACUUCGUG
RNAcentral lists this ribosomal RNA (492 nucleotides) under uncultured bacterium. RNAcentral describes it as "partial 16S ribosomal RNA". It matches the Rfam family "Bacterial small subunit ribosomal RNA", at positions 29 to 507 of the family's 1533-position model. The record is from RNAcentral.